AGCAGCCGCCACGGUAAUACAGAGGGUGCGAGCGUUAAUCGGAUUUACUGGGCGUAAAGCGUGCGUAGGCGGCUUCUUAAGUCGGAUGUGAAAUCCCUGAGCUUAACUUAGGAAUUGCAUUCGAUACUGGGAAGCUAGAGUAUGGGAGAGGAUGGUAGAAUUCCAGGUGUAGCGGUGAAAUGCGUAGAGAUCUGGAGGAAUACCGAUGGCGAAGGCAGCCAUCUGGCCUAAUACUGACGCUGAGGUACGAAAGCAUGGGGAGCAAACAGGAUUAGAUACCCGGGUAGUCCCUGUCUCUUAUAC
This 303-nucleotide ribosomal RNA is filed under the name uncultured bacterium. Its description in RNAcentral is "partial 16S ribosomal RNA". It matches the Rfam family "Bacterial small subunit ribosomal RNA", at positions 507 to 807 of the family's 1533-position model. The record is from RNAcentral.